UGGGGAAUUUUGGACAAUGGGGGAAACCCUGAUCCAGCCAUGCCGCGUGUAUGAAGAAGGCCUUAGGGUUGUAAAGUACUUUUGUUAGGGAAGAAAAGCUAGUUUUUAAUAAAAAUUAGUGAUGACGGUACCUAAAGAAUAAGCACCGGCUAACUACGUGCCAGCAGCCGCGGUAAUACGUAGGGUGCAAGCGUUAAUCGGAAUUAUUGGGCGUAAAGCGAGUGCAGACGGUUACUUAAGCCAGAUGUGAAAUCCCCAAGCUUAACUUGGGACGUGCAUUUGGAACUGGGUGACUAGAGUGUGUCAGAGGGAGGUAGAAUUCCACAUGUAGCGGUGGAAUGCGUAGAGAUGUGGAGGAAUACCGAUGGCGAAGGCAGCCUCCUGGGAUAACACUGACGUUGAGGCUCGAAAGCGUGGGGAGCAAACAGG
Molecule: ribosomal RNA, 429 nt
Filed under: Bacillota bacterium
Lineage: Bacteria; Bacillati; Bacillota
Also listed under: 2 other names
Description: Firmicutes bacterium partial 16S ribosomal RNA
Rfam family: Bacterial small subunit ribosomal RNA
Source: RNAcentral